Molecule: long non-coding RNA, 1242 nt
Filed under: Cicer arietinum (chickpea)
Lineage: Eukaryota; Viridiplantae; Streptophyta; Magnoliopsida; Fabales; Fabaceae
Description: long non-coding RNA (CARI_LNC002644)
Source: RNAcentral
GAAGAAUGUGGACGGAAGGAUCCUUGGGGGUGAUAGAGAGGGCUUGAUUUGCUUCUGAGAGAGCGUUUUUGGUAUGUUGGACUUUACAUCGUUCCUUCUUUCUCAAUCGUUUAGUUCUGGUUCGUUUCUAUUCAUCCUUACCAAGUUUUUUCUCUAAUUUAUUCUUCAUUUAUGUUGUUUCAAUGGUUGUUUUUAUUCUUAUUUUGAACAUUGUAGUUUGGUUUUGAUUUUUGUUUGGUGUGUUGUUUAAUUGAAUUAGUGUUCUUCUAUUAUGUUGAUUUUUUCCAAACAUUGUGCCUAUUUUGUGGAAGAGAAGGGAUUUUUUUCAAAAAUUGUGACUUGCUUUUUUCCUUUAAUUUAAGAUUGCUUUUCAUGUGGUUUUUGUAAUGUAGCCCUGAAAUCGUGACUUGCAAAUCAUUAUUGGAUUAGUUAUGUAAGGAGCAAUAAAGAUUUCUUUGCACCUAAAAAUAGUUAUUAACUUAAUCUUUAGUGGCAUCUAAUUUGUUGUAGUAGGAGUAGACAUCAUGUAAACAACAGUAAAGAUUUAUUUCCAUCUGCAAAAGUGAGCCUUUACCACAAUCACAACACUAUGAUGCUUGAUUAUUAACAGUAGUUGAGAUGGACGAAAACAUAAGUUCUGGUUUUAGUUUUGUUGGUGAUUUUGAAAAUUGAUCUUAAGUUCUGGUUUUAGUUUUGUUUAACUGUUGAUGUUUAUGUCUGCAAUUCUAUUUUUCAUGCAAUUCUGUUUGUGCAUUUCGCUAUUUUGUGCAGUUCUAUGUUGGCUGUUUGUGGUGAUGCUUAUGUCGAGCUACGUUUUGCAUAUUAUAGUUUCUGCUUGCGGUUUUGUUUCUGCCCAGUUCUGUUUUUGUUUGCAUUUUAUGUGGUUAUGUUUUGUGAGUUUUUUGUUUAUGUUAGCAAGUUUUGUUUCAUCAUUUAUUUUUGUUUUUAUUUUAUUAUGCACCAAGGUAUCAAUGGAGAUGAUUAAAAUGAUGAUGAAUUAUUUCAAGAUGACAAUGAAGGCAAUGAAUUUGAAGAGGACGACAUAGAUGAUAAGUUUGAAGAUGACGGUGUAGAUGAUAAAUAUGAAGAAGACACACUUGAAUGAUUUAGAUGAUGAUUUUAGAUUAUGGUUUCUUGAAUGAUUUAGAUGAUGAUUUAGAUUAUGGUUUCUUGAAUGAUGUUUUUUUUAUUAGGCAUGUACUUGAUUGAAGCAUCAAAACUUCAACAAACUAUAUAUUUUGC